Molecule: ribosomal RNA, 468 nt
Filed under: uncultured bacterium
Lineage: Bacteria
Description: partial 16S ribosomal RNA
Rfam family: Bacterial small subunit ribosomal RNA
Source: RNAcentral
GACGAACGCUGGCGGCGUGCUUAACACAUGCAAGUCGAACGGAAAGGCCCUGCUUUUGUGGGGUGCUCGAGUGGCGAACGGGUGAGUAACACGUGAGUAACCUGCCCUUGACUUUGGGAUAACUUCAGGAAACUGGGGCUAAUACCGGAUAGGAGCUCCUGCUGCAUGGUGGGGGUUGGAAAGUUUCGGCGGUUGGGGAUGGACUCGCGGCUUAUCAGCUUGUUGGUGGGGUAGUGGCUUACCAAGGCUUUGCCGGGUAGCCGGCCCGAGAGGGUGACCGGCCACAUUGGGACUGAGAUACGGCCCAGACUCCUACGGGAGGCAGCAGUGGGGAGUAUUGCACAAUGGGCGGAAGCCUGAUGCAGCAACGCCGCGUGCGGGAUGACGGCCUUCGGGUUGUAAACCGCUUUCGCCUGUGACGAAGCGUGAGUGACGGUAAUGGGUAAAGAAGCACCGGCUAACUACGUG